Molecule: transfer RNA, 80 nt
Filed under: Spraguea lophii 42_110
Lineage: Eukaryota; Fungi; Microsporidia; Spragueidae
Rfam family: tRNA
About the family: Transfer RNA (tRNA) molecules are approximately 80 nucleotides in length. Their secondary structure includes four short double-helical elements and three loops (D, anti-codon, and T loops). Further hydrogen bonds mediate the characteristic L-shaped molecular structure. tRNAs have two regions of fundamental functional importance: the anti-codon, which is responsible for specific mRNA codon recognition, and the 3' end, to which the tRNAs corresponding amino acid is attached (by aminoacyl-tRNA synthetases). tRNAs cope with the degeneracy of the genetic code in two manners: having more than one tRNA (with a specific anti-codon) for a particular amino acid; and 'wobble' base-pairing, i.e. permitting non-standard base-pairing at the 3rd anti-codon position.
Source: Rfam by way of RNAcentral
GUCACUGUGGCAGAGUGGUUAUCGCGUUGGUCUGCUAAACCAUCCCUUCGGGGUCGCGGGUUCGAAUCCCGUCGGUGACG